UUCCCACGUCCGUUGGUCGUGCUUUCCCAAGUACUAAUGAAAAUGAGAGGGGGAUGACUGCAACAAGCCAGGGGAGGGACGAUACAAGACACGUCUGGAAGACAACCUGGGGGUUCACAGUCCGACACACACACCGACUUCUCCCACCCUCCCACGCUGUUCUUGGUCCCACUCCAAGUUCUGUGAGUGUUCAGCAGGAGAAACAUCCUGCCGCAGCCUGUGAGGUGAAUAAUAUUGACCAGGUGUUCUUGGCAGAGCCCCCCUGACCAGGACCGGCUCCAGGCAUAAGCGACACAAGUGGUUGCCUGGGGCCCCAGAAACCCCCCCACCCACCCAAAAAGUACUGUAUAAUUGCGGUACCCCAGACUCAGCCGGCCCUGUCCCUGACUUUGAGCUGUCCAUCCUGAAGGGAGCACCGAGCGGCUUCACUUUCCAGACGUCUCAUUAAUUAUGAAGGCAAACACACCGUCGGGGUUUGUUACUACUGUCUCAAGGUGAAUUUUUAACUGGCUAAGAAAUGGAAUAGCCCUCAAUACCUUUCUGACUCUCACAUACUGUUUUGUCUAUCAGUCUGAGAGACAUUAGUCAAUGUGAAAGGGAGUAGGAGUCACACCAGAGAUGUCUUUUCUCUGCUUGAAAAUGUGUGUGUGGGUUUUCACUGCAGAUGGUUUCCCAGUUAAUAUGGAUGCCUAACAGACGAUAGAUCUGAAGCAAAGAUCACACAUUGCAGCGCAAUCUGUUAGAUGGAAUAUUACCACGUUGAUUUUAAUCUGAUGAAUAAUAAAAUGAUUGAAAUAUUUGAAUAGAAAUGCAUGAAUGGAUUUUUACUGCAUUGUGUCCCCUUGGGGAACUUUGUCUAGAAUGUCAAUAAAUAUAA
Long non-coding RNA from Oncorhynchus tshawytscha (Chinook salmon), 877 nucleotides. RefSeq lists it as uncharacterized. Lineage: Eukaryota; Metazoa; Chordata; Actinopteri; Salmoniformes; Salmonidae. The transcript is spliced from 4 exons. The record is from RefSeq and is a predicted model, not a curated record.